Molecule: small nucleolar RNA, 95 nt
Filed under: Marmota monax (woodchuck)
Lineage: Eukaryota; Metazoa; Chordata; Mammalia; Rodentia; Sciuridae
Rfam family: Small nucleolar RNA U13
Source: RNAcentral
AUCCUUUUCUGUUCAUCAGCAUGAUGACUGGGUGUUCACACUGCUGUAUGAGAGGUGUCUCCCUUGUUAUAGCACUGGCAUAUGACUUGUCUGAU